CAGUAGCCGCGGUAAGACAGAGGAUGCAAGCGUUACCCGGAAUGAUUGGGCGUAAAGCGUCUGUAGGUGGCUUUUCAAGUCCGCCGUCAAAUCCCAGGGCUCAACCCUGGACAGGCGGUGGAAACUACCAAGCUGGGGUACGGUAGGGGCAGAGGGAAUUUCCGGUGGAGCGGUGAAAUGCGUUGAGAUCGGAAAGAACGCCAACGGCGAAAGCACUCUGCUGGGCCGACACUGACACUGAGAGACGUAAGCUAGGGGAGCAAAUGGGAUUAGAGACCCCUGUAGUCCCUGUCUCUUAUAC
Molecule: ribosomal RNA, 301 nt
Filed under: uncultured bacterium
Lineage: Bacteria
Description: partial 16S ribosomal RNA
Rfam family: Bacterial small subunit ribosomal RNA
Source: RNAcentral